AUUGAACGCUGGCGGCAGGCCUAACACAUGCAAGUCGAACGGUAGCACAGAGAGCUUGCUCUCGGGUGACGAGUGGCGGACGGGUGAGUAACGUCUGGGAAACUGCCCGAUGGAGGGGGAUAACUACUGGAAACGGUAGCUAAUACCGCAUAACGUCGCAAGACCAAAGUGGGGGACCUUCGGGCCUCACACCAGCGGAUGUGCCCAGCUGGGAUUAGCUAGUAGGUGGGGUAAUGGCUCACCUAGGCGACGAUCCCUAGCUGGUCUGAGAGGAUGACCAGCCACACUGGAACUGAGACACGGUCCAGACUCCUACGGGAGGCAGCAGUGGGGAAUAUUGCACAAUGGGCGCAAGCCUGAUGCAGCCAUGCCGCGUGUAUGAAGAAGGCCUUCGGGUUGUAAAGUACUUUCAGCGGGGAGGAAGGCGGUGAAGUUAAUAACUUCACCGAUUGACGUUACCCGCAGAAGAAGCACCGGCUAACUCCGUGCCAGCAGCCGCCGCCG
RNAcentral lists this ribosomal RNA (504 nucleotides) under uncultured bacterium. Its description in RNAcentral is "partial 16S ribosomal RNA". It matches the Rfam family "Bacterial small subunit ribosomal RNA", at positions 29 to 523 of the family's 1533-position model. The record is from RNAcentral.